RNAcentral lists this ribosomal RNA (497 nucleotides) under uncultured bacterium. Its description in RNAcentral is "partial 16S ribosomal RNA". It matches the Rfam family "Bacterial small subunit ribosomal RNA", at positions 28 to 507 of the family's 1533-position model. The record is from RNAcentral.
GAUGAACGCUGGCGGCGUGCCUAAUACAUGCAAGUCGAGCGAACAGACGAGGAGCUUGCUCCUCUGACGUUAGCGGCGGACGGGUGAGUAACACGUGGAUAACCUACCUAUAAGACUGGGAUAACUUCGGGAAACCGGAGCUAAUACCGGAUAAUAUAUUGAACCGCAUGGUUCAAUAGUGAAAGACGGUUUUGCUGUCACUUAUAGAUGGAUCGGCGCCGCAUUAGCUAGUUGGUAAGGUAACGGCUUACCAAGGCAACGAUGCGUAGCCGACCUGACAGGGUGAUAGGCCACACGGGAACUGAGACACGGUCCAGACUCCUACGGGAGGCAGCAGUAGGGAAUCUUCCGCAAUGGGCGAAAGCAUGACGGAGCAGCGCCGCGUGAAUGAUGAAGGUCUUCGGAUCGUAAAACUCUGUUAUUAGGGAAGAACAAAUGUGUAAGUAACUAUGCACGUCUUGACGGUACCUAAUCAGAAAGCCACGGCUAACUACGUG